GGUCUUGCUGUCACUUAUAGAUGGAUCCGCGCUGCAUUAGCUAGUUGGUAAGGUAACGGCUUACCAAGGCAACGAUGCAUAGCCGACCUGAGAGGGUGAUCGGCCACACUGGAACUGAGACACGGUCCAGACUCCUACGGGAGGCAGCAGUAGGGAAUCUUCCGCAAUGGGCGAAAGCCUGACGGAGCAACGCCGCGUGAGUGAUGAAGGUCUUCGGAUCGUAAAACUCUGUUAUUAGGGAAGAACAUAUGUGUAAGUAACUGUGCACAUCUUGACGGUACCUAAUCAGAAAGCCACGGCUAACUACGUGCCAGCAGCCGCGGUAAUACGUAGGUGGCAAGCGUUAUCCGGAAUUAUUGGGCGUAAAGCGCGCGUAGGCGGUUUUUUAAGUCUGAUGUGAAAGCCCACGGCUCAACCGUGGAGGGUCAUUGGAAACUGGAAAACUUGAGUGCAGAAGAGGAAAGUGGAAUUCCAUGUGUAGCGGUGAAAUGCGCAGAGAUAUGGAGGAACACCAGUGGCGAAGGCGACUUUCUGGUCUGUAACUGACGCUGAUGUGCGAAAGCGUGGGGAUCAAACAGGAUUAGAUACCCUGGUAGUCCACGCCGUAAACGAUGAG
Molecule: ribosomal RNA, 616 nt
Filed under: Staphylococcus aureus
Lineage: Bacteria; Bacillati; Bacillota; Bacilli; Caryophanales; Staphylococcaceae
Description: bacterial SSU rRNA
Rfam family: Bacterial small subunit ribosomal RNA
Source: RNAcentral